Molecule: ribosomal RNA, 380 nt
Filed under: uncultured eukaryote
Lineage: Eukaryota
Description: partial 18S ribosomal RNA
Rfam family: Eukaryotic small subunit ribosomal RNA
Source: RNAcentral
CAAUAGCGUAUAUUAAAGUUGUUGCAGUUAAAAAGCUCGUAGUUGGAUUUGUGGCGUACGGUGUGUUCCGGGCACUUGUUGUCUGAGUAACCUGCUGUUGCCAUCCUUGGGUGGAACCAGUGUGGCAUUAGGUUGUCGUGCAGGGGAUGCCCAUCAUUUACUGUGAAAAAAUUAGAGUGUUCAAAGCAGGCUUAUGCCGUUGAAUAUAUUAGCAUGGAAUAAUGAGAUAGGACUUUUUUGCUAUUUUGUUGGUUUGCGCAAAGAGGUAAUGAUUAAUAGGGACAGUUGGGGGUAUUCGUAUUCCAUUGUCAGAGGUGAAAUUCUUGGAUUUUUGGAAGACGAACUACUGCGAAAGCAUUUACCAAGGAUGUUUUCAUUAA